This is a non-coding RNA of Labrus mixtus (cuckoo wrasse), 729 nucleotides long. NCBI's taxonomy places the organism in Eukaryota, Metazoa, Chordata, Actinopteri, Labriformes, Labridae. The record is from the annotation of a RefSeq genome assembly.
UCUAUUGGCUCCAGUCAGACCAUCAUUGAUGCUUCAUAUGUUUGAUUGUAUGCAAACUCAGUGAGCUUCCUUGUUACUCAGCUAUAAAAACUUCCCAUCAGGCCGUCAGUGGAGUUCACAGCACGUCACUUUCAACAUCAACCAUGUUUUCUGUAGCUCUGCUGCUGCUGCUGGCAGCUGGAUGUGUGAAGUGUGAACAGUUGACACAGCCAGCCUCUGUGACUGUGCAGCCAGGUCAGAGUCUGACCAUCACCUGUCAGGUCUCUUAUUCUGUUAGCAGCUAUGCUACAGCCUGGAUCAGACAGCCUGCAGGGAAAGGACUGGAGUGGAUCGGUAGCGGAGUUGGAUCCACCACACUCUACAAAGAUUCACUGAAGAACCAGUUCAGUAUCGACUUAGACUCCUCCAGAAACACAGCGACUCUAAACGGACUGAAUAUGCAGCCUGCAGACACUGCAGUGUAUUACUGUGCCAGAGACCCACAGUGACACAACCCAUCAGUAGAGCUGAACAAAAACCCCUCAGAGCCUGAACACCAGUAACAUGAAGCCACCAGAGGAGGAGCCCUCACACCAAUAAUGAUUAACACCAAGCAGUGAACCAGGGGAACAGAGCCUUUUCCAUUGCUGCCCCUCUCUCUCUGGAUCUCUCUCCUCAAACACACCUGAGACUUUACUGACCUGCCACAAUUCAAAUCACUGAUAGAAACAUUAUAAACACUGCUUUAAA